Molecule: non-coding RNA, 318 nt
Organism: Indicator indicator
Lineage: Eukaryota; Metazoa; Chordata; Aves; Piciformes; Indicatoridae
Product: small Cajal body-specific RNA 7
Exons: 1
Source: RefSeq, a predicted model, not a curated record
UGGAAAUGAUGAAAUAGAGAUAAUUGGAUGUGCCUUGGAAUGGAGUGUGUGUGGUAACUGGGAUUUAAACCCAGUUUAGACUGGGGGUGGGGGGUGGGGAAUGUAUGUGUGGGUGCAGGUGUGGGGAAGGCUUUGAAUGGGGGCACUGAUGGUGCAGUGCUGCUUCCGGAGUGCAUCUGAGGCCUGUUGUGAAACUCUGGGGUGUUCCUUACAACAGUGCUGAUGAUUAAAGCCCCAAACAAGCCCACCAGGACAAGCCUGGGCAUCCUACAUCUCUGACAGCUUCACUAAGGCCAGUGAACCUGUGAGCUGAUCCAA